This 251-nucleotide ribosomal RNA is filed under the name uncultured bacterium. RNAcentral's name for it is "partial 16S ribosomal RNA". It matches the Rfam family "Archaeal small subunit ribosomal RNA", at positions 474 to 727 of the family's 1478-position model. The record is from RNAcentral.
UACCCGCAGCACAAGUGGUGGUCAUUAUUAUUGGGCCUAAAGCGUCCGUAGCUGGCCUGUUAGAUGCCUGGGUAAAUCGAUGCGCUCAACGUAUCGAACUCCGGGUAGACCGGCAGGCUUGGGACCGGGAGAGAUGUGAGCUACUCGAGGGGUAGGGUAAAAUCCUGUAAUCCUUCGGGGAGGACCAGUGGCGAAGGCGUCACAUUAGAACGGCUCCGACAGUGAGGGACGAAGCCCUGGGCGCAAACCGG